GGAGAGGUCGCCAUUGGCAAGGCAAGUCGUUUGCUAAACGAUCGAGGAAAUUCCCUCUGUGGGUUCGACUCCCACUCUCUCCGCCA
RNAcentral lists this transfer RNA (86 nucleotides) under Leptolyngbya sp. RNAcentral describes it as "tRNA-Ser". It matches the Rfam family "tRNA". Rfam says of the family: Transfer RNA (tRNA) molecules are approximately 80 nucleotides in length. Their secondary structure includes four short double-helical elements and three loops (D, anti-codon, and T loops). Lineage: Bacteria; Bacillati; Cyanobacteriota; Cyanophyceae; Leptolyngbyales; Leptolyngbyaceae. RNAcentral also lists the same sequence under 7 other names. The record is from RNAcentral.